UACUCAGCCGACAAAAGGAAACCAAGCUUCUAAAGAAGGUGACUGAUGUGGCUGUGCGAAUGUCAGAGGAGCAACUGGUUGAGCUCAGAGCUGAUGUCAAGUAGGACUUCCUUCUCUCUGCCUUUUCUUUUCAUCCUCCCGGACUGAAGUAGCAAAUGUCCAUAAUUCACGGCCAUAGCACUUUGUUAGCGAACAUAAAUAUGGCGAGGAUCUGGGAUGAGGAACUGAUUCUCUUGUGAUGUGCAGACUCUGAAAAAGAGCAUUGGUUCAUUUGGAGAAGUGCCCCACCCAGAACACAGCUAUUCGACUAGACCCUGAUGUAACUCAGUUAUGUCUGCGUCCUGGGGUGGCCCUAGUGAUGCCUCUACUGUUUCCUCUUCCACCUGUGCUCUGCUCCCAGCCUGACAGGUGCGAACAAGAGAAAUUCUGCAUCAGAAGAUCCUGCAGCCACAGCAAACUCCAGCAGCCAGCCCUGCCAGCCUCAUCGGGAGGUAUUGCUGGGAAACAGAGGAGGACAAGGUUAUAGGUCAAAAGGCCAGAAGUCCAGUGACCCUACGAACCAAGGAUGACAUGACAGCAUGGGUCAUUACAGAAAUCGCUCGUGCUAUUCAUCUAGUUCCAGGUAUCAGAGUGCUCCAUCCCAGCUGGAGGCAACACUAGUGAAAAGGGCCAGGCUCACUCUGCAGGGACCCAUGGAACUGGAGCCACCAUGGAGCCUAGCCCGUCUAAACCCUCAUUGAGAAAGGGCCUCCCCCAGCGCAAGCCCAGAACCUCUCAGCCCGGAGCUGUGAACUCCUGAGAGAAGUUCCAGUAGCUUCUCUACCCACCCCCACAAUUCAACAUGAUAACUGCACUUUAGGAAAUUUGUAGUUAAGUUUAAUAACAAAAAGAAGUUUAUGCAUACCACUUUUUGUGCCAUUCUAAAUAUUUUUUAUUUCUUCUCUCAUUAUUUCUUCUUUAUUUUUGGAGGGGGAGUGUUUUUUCCCUUGACUUUUCCCAAUGAUAUGCUGAUUCUGAUUGGGAUCAGGGAUAACAGUGGCCAGGUUUCCCAAGGGUAAGCAACACUGCACCAGGUCUUCUGUCUGCCCAAAGAGGCCUUACCCAACAAACGCCUCCCCCUCCGCUAUUGAGGCUGUCUCAGGAGGAGUGGGUCAGAGAUAGACCUGUCACUUUUUCAGUAUAAGCAGAAGCCAUGGAUGCCUGCCAGGUCUCCUCUAAACAAGUUUGACCAGGAAAAGACUGUAUAUUACACUGGAUUAGCCAGAAAAGAGAAAUGUUAAUUGGUGCAAAAGAGAACACAAGGAAACUAGACAGUCUGCCUCUGUCCCAGAACGUGCCUGAGACUUGACACUUGAAGCAGGGUUUCAGCUCCCUGCUUGGCAUCGUAGCUUACCCUGUGGUUCUUCAAAAUGCCCAGAGCCUUGUUUCCUGUUACUGUAGGCCAACCUCAGGCUGCGAGCCCCUCUAAGGAAGUCUAGGAAAGUUUACAUGCAAUGAAAGUUUUUUAAAAGUUGUAAAGACAUACUUCUUUGUUUCAGUGUUUGGAGAUUUUUGUUGUUGUUCACCCCCAUUCCUGAAUCCUGUUCUUAUCUUGAACCAAAUUUAUUGCAAUAUAAUUAGUGUUAAUCUGUUACCCAUCAGAAAUUGCUGCAGUCUUUAUAGAUGAAUAAAUAAAAAUAACUGUGUAAA
Chinchilla lanigera (long-tailed chinchilla) is the source of this 1689-nucleotide long non-coding RNA. RefSeq lists it as uncharacterized. NCBI's taxonomy places the organism in Eukaryota, Metazoa, Chordata, Mammalia, Rodentia, Chinchillidae. The transcript has 4 exons. The record is from RefSeq and is a predicted model, not a curated record.